GCCUUAGGACAAGGGAGUACUGGUGAACCGUGUCAGGUCCGGAAGGAAGCAGCACUAAGCUUGCUACUCCUUGUGUCCUAAGUUAGU
RNAcentral lists this signal recognition particle RNA (87 nucleotides) under Candidatus Limosilactobacillus merdipullorum. Its description in RNAcentral is "signal recognition particle sRNA small type". It matches the Rfam family "Bacterial small signal recognition particle RNA". From Rfam's summary of the family: The signal recognition particle (SRP) is a universally conserved ribonucleoprotein involved in the co-translational targeting of proteins to membranes. Archaeal SRP consists of a 7S RNA and homologues of the eukaryotic SRP19 and SRP54 proteins. The record is from RNAcentral. Lineage: Bacteria; Bacillati; Bacillota; Bacilli; Lactobacillales; Lactobacillaceae.